Molecule: ribosomal RNA, 426 nt
Filed under: uncultured eukaryote
Lineage: Eukaryota
Description: SSU rRNA
Rfam family: Eukaryotic small subunit ribosomal RNA
Source: RNAcentral
UCCUGACACAGGGAGGUAGUGACAAGAAAUAACAAUACAGGGCCUUUUUGGUCUUGUAAUUGGAAUGAGUACAAUUUACAUCUCUUCACGAGGAUCAAUUGGAGGGCAAGUCUGGUGCCAGCAGCCGCGGUAAUUCCAGCUCCAAUAGCGUAUAUUAAAGUUGUUGCAGUUAAAACGCUCGUAGUCGGAUUUCGGGGCGGGCGGGCCGGUCUGCCGAUGGGUAUGCACUGGUUUGCGCGUCCUUCCUUCCGGAGACCAUGCCUACUCUUCACUGAGCGGGUAUGGGAAACGGAAUUUUUACUUUGAAAAAAUCAGAGUGUUUCAAGCAGGCAUUUCGCUUUUGCAUGGAUUAGCAUGGGAUAAUAAAAUAGGACUUUGGUGCUAUUUUGUUGGUUUCGAACACCGAAGUAAUGAUUAACAGGGACA